CUAUCUAAUUCUUCUCUUUUUUAUUAUAAAAAUUUAAAAUAUAUAAUUUUUUUCACAUAAAUUUUGAAUAGUUAGUUAUAUGUAUUAAAUAUAAAUUUUAGUAAUAUUAAUCACCUUUUAUUGAUUGUAAAAUAAAAAAUGAAAGAGAGAUUGAUGGAAUUUAAGUUAAUUAUUUAUUUGUCCAAUUUGCAUAAAAAUUCACUAGUUCGACCUUUUCCAAAAGUAGGCUGUUUUUUGGAUUUUGCAGAUUCGGGCCGAAUUUUACAAAAACUAACCAAAAUACCCUUGAUCGCUUUUCUCUCUCCUCUUUUUUUUCUCUCGUUUUUUUUUUCU
RNAcentral lists this long non-coding RNA (333 nucleotides) under Ananas comosus (pineapple). RNAcentral describes it as "long non-coding RNA (ACOM_LNC030808)". Lineage: Eukaryota; Viridiplantae; Streptophyta; Magnoliopsida; Poales; Bromeliaceae. The record is from RNAcentral.